This 657-nucleotide ribosomal RNA is filed under the name Debaryomyces hansenii. RNAcentral's name for it is "eukaryotic LSU rRNA". The stretch from base 257 to 410 matches the Rfam family "5.8S ribosomal RNA". The record is from RNAcentral. Lineage: Eukaryota; Fungi; Ascomycota; Pichiomycetes; Serinales; Debaryomycetaceae.
UUUGAAGGUAAAAAGCGUAACAAGGUUUCCGUAGGUGAACCUGCGGAAGGAUCAUUACAGUAUUCUUUUUGCCAGCGCUUAAUUGCGCGGCGAAAAAACCUUACACACAGUGUUUUUUGUUAUUACAAGAACUUUUGCUUUGGUCUGGACUAGAAAUAGUUUGGGCCAGAGGUUUACUGAACUAAACUUCAAUAUUUAUAUUGAAUUGUUAUUUAUUUAAUUGUCAAUUUGUUGAUUAAAUUCAAAAAAUCUUCAAAACUUUCAACAACGGAUCUCUUGGUUCUCGCAUCGAUGAAGAACGCAGCGAAAUGCGAUAAGUAAUAUGAAUUGCAGAUUUUCGUGAAUCAUCGAAUCUUUGAACGCACAUUGCGCCCUCUGGUAUUCCAGAGGGCAUGCCUGUUUGAGCGUCAUUUCUCUCUCAAACCUUCGGGUUUGGUAUUGAGUGAUACUCUUAGUCGAACUAGGCGUUUGCUUGAAAUGUAUUGGCAUGAGUGGUACUGGAUAGUGCUAUAUGACUUUCAAUGUAUUAGGUUUAUCCAACUCGUUGAAUAGUUUAAUGGUAUAUUUCUCGGUAUUCUAGGCUCGGCCUUACAAUAUAACAAACAAGUUUGACCUCAAAUCAGGUAGGAUUACCCGCUGAACUUAAGCAUAUCAAUA